GGUGCUGUAGCUCAGUGGUAGAGCACUUGCCUGGCAUGCAUGAGGCAUUGGGUUCAAUCUUCAGCACCA
This 69-nucleotide transfer RNA is filed under the name Marmota marmota marmota (Alpine marmot). It matches the Rfam family "tRNA". Rfam says of the family: Transfer RNA (tRNA) molecules are approximately 80 nucleotides in length. Their secondary structure includes four short double-helical elements and three loops (D, anti-codon, and T loops). Lineage: Eukaryota; Metazoa; Chordata; Mammalia; Rodentia; Sciuridae. The record is from Rfam by way of RNAcentral. RNAcentral also lists the same sequence under 1 other name.